This 253-nucleotide ribosomal RNA is filed under the name uncultured bacterium. RNAcentral's name for it is "partial 16S ribosomal RNA". It matches the Rfam family "Bacterial small subunit ribosomal RNA", at positions 524 to 776 of the family's 1533-position model. The record is from RNAcentral.
UACGUAGGGGGCAAGCGUUGUCCGGAUUUAUUGGGCGUAAAGAGCGUGUAGGCGGCCAUACAGGUCAUCUGUGAAAACUCGAGGCUCAACCUCGAGACGUCGGUUGAAACCGUAUGGCUAGAGUCCGGAAGAGGAGAGUGGAAUUCCCGGUGUAGCGGUGAAAUGCGCAGAUAUCGGGAGGAACACCAAUGGCGAAGGCAGCUUGCUGGGACGGUACUGACGCUGAGGCGCGAAAGCGUGGGGAGCAAACAGG